This 445-nucleotide ribosomal RNA is filed under the name uncultured bacterium. RNAcentral describes it as "bacterial SSU rRNA". It matches the Rfam family "Bacterial small subunit ribosomal RNA", at positions 331 to 793 of the family's 1533-position model. The record is from RNAcentral.
CCAGACUCCUACGGGAGGCAGCAGUGGGGAAUAUUGCACAAUGGGGGAAACCCUGAUGCAGCGACGCCGCGUGAGUGAAGAAGUCAUUCGUGAUGUAAAGCUCUAUCAGCAGGGAAGAAAAUGACGGUACCUGACCAAGAAGCCCCGGCUAACUACGUGCCAGCAGCCGCGGUAAUACGUAGGGGGCAAGCGUUAUCCGGAUUUACUGGGUGUAAAGGGAGCGUAGACGGCCGUGCAAGUCUGAUGUGAAAACCCGGGGCUCAACCCCGGGACUGCAUUGGAAACUGCAUGGCUGGAGUGUCGGAGAGGCAAGUGGAAUUCCUAGUGUAGCGGUGAAAUGCGUAGAUAUUAGGAGGAACACCAGUGGCGAAGGCGGCUUGCUGGACGACGACUGACGUUGAGGCUCGAAAGCGUGGGGAGCAAACAGGAUUAGAUACCCGCGUAC